This 253-nucleotide ribosomal RNA is filed under the name uncultured bacterium. RNAcentral's name for it is "partial 16S ribosomal RNA". It matches the Rfam family "Bacterial small subunit ribosomal RNA", at positions 524 to 776 of the family's 1533-position model. The record is from RNAcentral.
UACGGAGGGUGCAAACGUUGCUCGGAAUUAUUGGGCGUAAAGCGCACGUAGGCGGCCAACUAAGUCGGACGUGAAAUCCCCAGGCUCAACCUGGGAACUGCGUCCGAUACUGGAUGGCUUGAAUCCGGGAGAGGGAUGCAGAAUUCCAGGUGUAGCGGUGAAAUGCGUAGAUAUCUGGAGGAACACCGGUGGCGAAGGCGGCAUCCUGGACCGGCAUUGACGCUGAGGCGCGAAAGCUAGGGGAGCAAACGGG